GUCUACCAUCAUAGUGUCUUCAGUGCACUCAAAUUCGUCUGGUCUCAGAAGCUAAAGAGGGUCAGGCCUAGUUAGUACUCAGUGUGGAAGAAC
RNAcentral lists this ribosomal RNA (93 nucleotides) under Meriones unguiculatus (Mongolian gerbil). The record is from RNAcentral. Lineage: Eukaryota; Metazoa; Chordata; Mammalia; Rodentia; Muridae.